CGGACGGGUGAGUAACACGUGAGCAACCUACCUUUGCGAGGGGGAUAACGUUUGGAAACGAACGCUAAUACCGCAUGACAUAUGGAUGGGGCAUCCUGUUCAUAUCAAAGAUUUAUCGCGCAGAGAUGGGCUCGCGUCCGAUUAGCCAGUUGGCGGGGUAAAGGCCCACCAAAGCGACGAUCGGUAGCCGGACUGAGAGGUUGAACGGCCACAUUGGGACUGAGACACGGCCCAGACUCCUACGGAAGGCAGCAG
RNAcentral lists this ribosomal RNA (255 nucleotides) under uncultured bacterium. RNAcentral's name for it is "partial 16S ribosomal RNA". It matches the Rfam family "Bacterial small subunit ribosomal RNA", at positions 99 to 354 of the family's 1533-position model. The record is from RNAcentral.